GACAGAGGUGCCAAGCGUUAGGCGGAAUCACUGGGCUUAAAGCGUGUGUAGGCGGAUGCCUAAGUACCUUGUGAAAUCCCACGGCUCAACCGUGGAACUGCUUGGUAUACUGGGUGUCUUGAGCCAUCUAGGGGCUACCGGAACAAAUGGUGGAGCGGUGAAAUGCGUAGAUAUCAUUUGGAACGCCAAUGGUGAAAACAGGUAGCUGGGGAUGUGCCGACGCUGAGACACGAAAGCCAGGGGAGCAAACGGG
This 253-nucleotide ribosomal RNA is filed under the name uncultured bacterium. RNAcentral describes it as "partial 16S ribosomal RNA". It matches the Rfam family "Bacterial small subunit ribosomal RNA", at positions 524 to 776 of the family's 1533-position model. The record is from RNAcentral.